Molecule: ribosomal RNA, 261 nt
Filed under: uncultured Thermovirga sp.
Lineage: Bacteria; Thermotogati; Synergistota; Synergistia; Synergistales; Thermovirgaceae
Description: partial 16S ribosomal RNA
Rfam family: Bacterial small subunit ribosomal RNA
Source: RNAcentral
AUCGGUGAGGCCGGGCACUCUGGAUGGACUGCCGGCGACAAGCCGGAGGAAGUGGGGAUGACGUCAAGUCAUCAUGGCCCUUAUGUCCAGGGCGACACACGUGCUACAAUGGCCGGCACAGCGGGAAGCGAAGGGCGACUCUGAGCGGAUCCCUUAAAGCCGGUCCCAGUUCGGAUUGCAGUCUGCAACUCGACUGCAUGAAGUUGGAAUCGCUAGUAAUCGUGGAUCAGCCAAGCCGCGGUGAAUACGUUCCCGGGCCUU